ACACUCCUACGGGAGGCAGCAGUGGGGAAUAUUGGACAAUGGGCGCAAGCCUGAUCCAGCCAUGCCGCGUGAGUGAUGAAGGCCCUAGGGUUGUAAAGCUCUUUCACCGGUGAAGAUAAUGACGGUAACCGGAGAAGAAGCCCCGGCUAACUUCGUGCCAGCAGCCGCGGUAAUACGAAGGGGGCUAGCGUUGUUCGGAUUUACUGGGCGUAAAGCGCACGUAGGUGGACUAUUAAGUCAGGGGUGAAAUCCCGGGGCUCAACCCCGGAACUGCCUUUGAUACUGGUAGUCUUGAGUUCGAGAGAGGUGAGUGGAAUUCCGGGUGUAGAGGUGAAAUUCGUAGAUAUUCGGAGGAACACCAGUGGCGAAGGCGGCUCACUGGCUCGAUACUGACGCUGAGGUGCGAAAGCGUGGGGAGCAAACAGGAUUAGAUACCCUAGUAGUCCC
This 447-nucleotide ribosomal RNA is filed under the name uncultured organism. RNAcentral's name for it is "partial 16S ribosomal RNA". It matches the Rfam family "Bacterial small subunit ribosomal RNA", at positions 333 to 797 of the family's 1533-position model. The record is from RNAcentral.